RNAcentral lists this ribosomal RNA (222 nucleotides) under uncultured bacterium. Its description in RNAcentral is "partial 16S ribosomal RNA". It matches the Rfam family "Bacterial small subunit ribosomal RNA", at positions 97 to 334 of the family's 1533-position model. The record is from RNAcentral.
GGCGGACGGAUGAGUAACACGUAAGAAUUUGCCUCUAGGAGGGGGACAACAACUAGAAAUGGUUGCUAAUACCCCAUAUGCUUUCGAGUGAAACGGAUUUUUCCGCCUAGAGAGAAGCUUGCGGCUGAUUAGCUUGUUGGUGAGGUAAUGGCUCACCAAGGCGACGAUCAGUAUCUGGUUUGAGAGGACGAUCAGACACACUGGAACUGAGACACGGUCCAG